AUUUUAUGGUUCGAAAGAUAUAUUUAAAAAUAAAAGAUAAAAAUCCAAAAUUAAUUAUCUAUUAACGUGGAUUUGGACGACAAUAGGUUUUUAGUUUGUGAUGUUUCAUGUGAUGAUCAUUUUCAUGUUCAUCGUCUUUGAAUUGACAUGAGGAUAUCUAUGGAAAAGUAACUAAUCUGAAAGUAAGCCAACAUAUCGUUUGUCCUUUGUGUGCUAAAGAAAAGAUUUUCUUUUCGCAUCGUGAGGAAGUAUUACAUCAAUUAAAAAAUGUUAGGAAGUUGAUUACUUGUCAUGGAAAAGUAUACCAAUGGAAAUUAUUUGUUAAAGAAGUAUAAUUCUAAGGGUUUUAAGAAUAAAUUGGUUGAACCCAAAAUCUGGAGGAAGUACCUAUAUCCAUACACAGAAUAUGCCCAUUAAGAAUACUAGUCCAAAUUUGCUUUAAUGGAACGAUUAGGGCCCGAUAUAUUUGAAACUCAUGUUGGACAUAGUAUUGAGUUGGGUAGAAUAUUAUUCUACGUUAAGUGAGGAUAUCAGAUACCUAUUAUUGUACUGUAUUUUAAUAUAUACAUUAGAAUUG
This is a long non-coding RNA of Sitophilus oryzae (rice weevil), 577 nucleotides long. RefSeq lists it as uncharacterized. Lineage: Eukaryota; Metazoa; Arthropoda; Insecta; Coleoptera; Curculionidae. The transcript has 4 exons. The record is from RefSeq and is a predicted model, not a curated record.